This 440-nucleotide ribosomal RNA is filed under the name uncultured bacterium. RNAcentral describes it as "partial 16S ribosomal RNA". It matches the Rfam family "Bacterial small subunit ribosomal RNA", at positions 339 to 795 of the family's 1533-position model. The record is from RNAcentral.
CUACGGGCCGCUGCAGUGAGGAAUAUUGCACAAUGGGGGGAACCCUGGUGCAGCAACGCCGCGUGGAGGAUGACGCAUUUCGGUGUGUAAACUCCUUUUAUAUGUCAAGAAAAUGACGGUAGCAUAUGAAUAAGCACCGGCUAACAUCCGUGCAAGCAGCCGCGGUAAUACGGAGGGUGCAAGCGUUACUCGGAAUCACUGGGCGUAAAGGACGCGUAGGCGGGCUUGUAAGUCAGGUGUGAAAUCCUACAGCUUAACUGUAGAACUGCACUUGAAACUACGAGCCUAGAGUAUGGGAGGGGCAGAUGGAAUUAGUGGUGUAGGGGUAAAAUCCGUAGAUAUCACUAGGAAUACCUAAAGCGAAGGCGAUCUGCUGGAACAUAACUGACGCUAAGGCGUGAAAGCGUGGGGAGCAAACAGGAUUAGAUACCCGAGUAGUC